Molecule: long non-coding RNA, 567 nt
Filed under: Elaeis guineensis (African oil palm)
Lineage: Eukaryota; Viridiplantae; Streptophyta; Magnoliopsida; Arecales; Arecaceae
Description: long non-coding RNA (EGUI_LNC061750)
Source: RNAcentral
CCUCGUCUAUUCUUGCUUUGAGUCAUUAUUUACUGAGCUUCUUUUGUCUUUCAUCCUAUCGAACGUUGACGUUGUUUGAAGAUUCUUGAUCGCCGCUGUAUUGAUUUGCCCUUAGGGACUGGAGAGUUUCGACAAGAGUUUUCUUCCUCGUUGAGAUGAGGUCCCUUGUGCCUUUGAUGUAGUUCAUUUUUCACUUAUCACUGGCAUAGUUCAUCGCUCUCUUUUCAUCUCUCCUUUUCUUCUGUGUUCGAGUGAGGGUCUUCCCUCUGCUCUUGACGGGGUCGUGAGAGUGUAGAGGGGCCAUUGAGGAGGCUUUCCUCUUUGUCCGGUCUUGAUCGAUCGAGCCUUUAUUUGUGUCAGGAUGAGGUUCUCCUCUUAUUUCCGACCGUCAGUUUCAGCUUAUGUUAGGAUGAGGUUCUCCUUCUGUUCCUAACAGAGUUGUGGGGGCAUGCAAAGGCCACUGCAAGGGCCUCUCCCCACAUCCGGUCUAUAAGUAACCGGGCCUUCGACUUUGCUCAUGUUAAGAUGAGGUUCUCCUCCUAUUCCUAACAAGGUUGUGGGGGCACA